Neofelis nebulosa (Clouded leopard) is the source of this 1921-nucleotide long non-coding RNA. RefSeq lists it as uncharacterized. The transcript is spliced from 2 exons. The record is from RefSeq and is a predicted model, not a curated record. Lineage: Eukaryota; Metazoa; Chordata; Mammalia; Carnivora; Felidae.
UUCGUUUCUUGAAAAUACCUCCAAACUUCCAAGGGAUGCUCUUAAAGCCACUUUCCCUUGGCUUUGGAGAUAGGAAGCAGCAGUUCUGCCCCAGGACACCUGAACCUGCAUUUUGCCCAAGCUGGCCACCUGUUUCUGUCUCAGUCUUCUUAUAUUUGUACUGGAGGGAUGAAGGCUGUUCGUCCUUCACUGCCUCAGAGGUGGCAGGAAAGAGCUGAGUGAAGCUGAGAUUGAAAUGCUCUGGAAUUCGUGGCGUCAUGAAGAUACAGCCUGGCUAACUAUCCCCAGACCCAUUUCCUCUUUUUCUUCAGCACACAGGUAGACUACAUUUCUCAGCCUCUCUUGCAGUUGGGUCUGGCCACAAGACAGAGUUGUGGCCGAUAACAUGUGAGUGAAGAUGUCUCCCAUUUCCAGCCCUGCCUGUGGAAAUCUUCCAAGGCAUGAUACUCCAGAUGCUUAUCUUUUUUGCAGCCUUGAUGCAGACAAACAACUUUGGAGGCUACACAUAAAGAGGGCAGAGCCAAAAGAUACAAGGGACCUCGAUCCCUGAGUCACUUUGUGGAAGGCUGCCUCCCUACCAGGAACACCCACAUUUAACCGUCAGGUGAGUGAAAGGUGUAUGCUUUUGUGUGGAGACAUUUCAGUUAUAGGGUAUGUUUGUUGCCUCAGCUGGCACUGCCUUAUCGGACACACGAGUUCACAGAGCAAAUGGGAAAAUUAGCCUGCAUCCACACUGUCCACACUGUAAGAAUUUCUACGAGUUUCAGGAAUGUAUCUGCCAUGCUCUACAAAGUAUGCACAAUGUUUUAAUUCCACUUCACAGAAAGGUUUUCUUUCCAAACCCUCUUCAGGGGCCUUCCCUAUUAAAAAGUCCCAUUUAUAGAAACUACUACUUAGCAUUUUUGGAACUUGUUAUCCUAUUCAGCAGAGUCUAAGUCAGGAGGCUUUGAACUCGGACAAUUACUGCUCUUGAUUAACAACAAGAACUGAUGAGUUGGCCUUUCCAGUGUGCUAAGCAAACUCAGCCAAGCAGAAAAUAUCACUGAAGGGGAAACAAUGGGAAGUGAUUUUCUUGGUUACAUUAUGAGCCGUCGUGAUAUUUACACAUGUUUGUGGAUAAUGUGGGAAACUCUGCUGCUUGCGUGCCCUUGCAGAUGACACUGUUGGGCUUGAAACGCCAUGAUUCCCACUUGAUCUGGGCUGCAGAUGUCAUCCUGCAGGCAGCCAGCCUAGUGGAAAAACCACAGACCUGGGAGUGGGCAGGUGUGGGUGCAGGAUACCUGAACCGCGUCUUUGGAGCACCUGUUCCUCCAGGUGUCCCUGGGGCCAGCACCCAGGCCUGGAGCCUCAUAUUGUCAGACAGCCCAGUGACAGCAUAAGUGUCCAUUUCUUUAGACCUUUGACACAACUGGGUAUUUUAAUUUUUUUAAAUGUUUAUUUUUGAGAGAGACAGACAGACAGACAGACAGAAUGUGAGUGGGGGAGGAGCAGAGAGAGGGAGACACAGAAUCCAAAGCAGGCUCCAGGCUCUGAGCUGUCAGCACAGAGCCUGAUGCGGGGCUCGAACCCAUCAACUGCGAGAUCAUGACCUGAGCCGAAGUCAGACGCCCAACCUACUGAGCCACCCAGGCACCCCAACAGAACUGGGUAUUUUAAAAGAGAUCUUUGUGAAGUUGAGUCAUGUUGCUUUUAAUCCCAGAUUGCACAUUUACUUAUAUUUAAUAUGUCUGCAUUUGUGAGUGAUCUAUGUAAGUCCUUUAUCCAUUUCUCCUUUGGGGAUAGUAGUAGUUUUCAUAUCAUUGCAUACAAAAUUUUCAUUUAUUAAGGGCAUUGCACCUCUUCAUGUUACUUAGGUUUAUUUUUCCAAGUUAUUUGUCCUUUUUUUGUUCAUUUUUUGUGCAUUUAAAGUUAAAAAAAUUAA